RNAcentral lists this ribosomal RNA (862 nucleotides) under uncultured Acidobacteriota bacterium. Its description in RNAcentral is "bacterial SSU rRNA". It matches the Rfam family "Bacterial small subunit ribosomal RNA", at positions 56 to 896 of the family's 1533-position model. The record is from RNAcentral. Lineage: Bacteria; Pseudomonadati; Acidobacteriota.
UGCAAGUCGAACGCGAAAGUCCCGCANGGGAUCAGUAGAGUGGCNAACGGGUGAAUAACGCGUGGGUGACCUACCUUCGAGUGGGGGAUAACCUUCCGAAAGGAGGGCUAAUACCGCAUGACAUCCCAUGUUUGGAUACAUGGACAUCAAAGCCGGGGAUCGCAAGACCUGGCGCUUGAAGAGGGGCCUGCGUCCGAUUAGCUAGUUGGUGAGGUCACGGCUCACCAAGGCUUCGAUCGGUAUCCGGCCUGAGAGGGCGGACGGACACACUGGAACUGAGACACGGUCCAGACUCCUACGGGAGGCAGCAGUGGGGAAUUGUUCGCAAUGGGCGCAAGCCUGACGACGCAACGCCGCGUGGAGGAUGAAGACCUUCGGGUCGUAAACUCCUUUCGACCGAGAUGAAUAGUCUGCGACCUAACACGUUGCAGGCCUGACAGUAUCGAGGGAAGAAGCCCCGGCUAACUCCGUGCCAGCAGCCGCGGUAAUACGGGGGGGGCAAGCGUUGUUCGGAAUUACUGGGCGUAAAGGGUUCGUAGGUGGCCUGCUAAGUCAGACGUGAAAUCCCUCAGCUUAACUGGGGAACUGCGUCUGAGACUGGCGGGCUUGAGGGCAGGAGAGGAACGCGGAAUUCCGGGUGUAGCGGUGAAAUGCGUAGAUAUCUGGAGGAACACCGGUGGCGAAGGCGGCGUUCUGGACUGCAUCUGACACUGAGGAACGAAAGCCAGGGGAGCACACGGGAUUAGAUACCCCGGUAGUCCUGGNCCUAAACGAUGAAUGCUUGGUGUGGCGGGUAUCGAUCCCUGCCGUGCCGCAGUUAACGCGUUAAGCACUCCGCCUGGGGAGUACGGUCGCAAGGCUG